Molecule: transfer RNA, 74 nt
Filed under: Streptomyces sp. PT12
Lineage: Bacteria; Bacillati; Actinomycetota; Actinomycetes; Kitasatosporales; Streptomycetaceae
Also listed under: 4 other names
Rfam family: tRNA
About the family: Transfer RNA (tRNA) molecules are approximately 80 nucleotides in length. Their secondary structure includes four short double-helical elements and three loops (D, anti-codon, and T loops). Further hydrogen bonds mediate the characteristic L-shaped molecular structure. tRNAs have two regions of fundamental functional importance: the anti-codon, which is responsible for specific mRNA codon recognition, and the 3' end, to which the tRNAs corresponding amino acid is attached (by aminoacyl-tRNA synthetases). tRNAs cope with the degeneracy of the genetic code in two manners: having more than one tRNA (with a specific anti-codon) for a particular amino acid; and 'wobble' base-pairing, i.e. permitting non-standard base-pairing at the 3rd anti-codon position.
Source: Rfam by way of RNAcentral
GCCGCCUUAGCUCAGUCGGCCAGAGCAGCUGUCUUGUAAACAGCAGGUCGUCGGUUCGAAUCCGACAGGCGGCU